Molecule: long non-coding RNA, 276 nt
Filed under: Cucumis sativus (cucumber)
Lineage: Eukaryota; Viridiplantae; Streptophyta; Magnoliopsida; Cucurbitales; Cucurbitaceae
Description: long non-coding RNA (CSAT_LNC002431)
Source: RNAcentral
AAAGCAGUGAGAAAUUGAGGGGGUAGGUGAGGUAGAACUGGUGGGUUGGUACACAUUUUUCUAUUACUUAAACAUAUUUCCCACAAAAUUGCUUCUUUACAAAUCUCAACCUUUCCUCCUCUUCUUCUUCUUCUUCUCCCAUGGCUUCCUCUCUCUCUUCUAAACCGUUUCUGGGUUCUUCCAGAACCGAAGGCUUUUCUGGAUUGACCUCUCUCUCUACAGAUCUUUCCAAGCUUUCCUUUUCCGCCGUUAAAAUCUCAGUUGGGUCUCGAAACG